ACACAUGCAGUCGAACGGUANACAGGUNNUUCGGAUGCUGACGAGUGGCGAACGGGUGAGUAAUACAUCGGAACGUGCCCGAUCGUGGGGGAUAACGAAGCGAAAGCUUUGCUAAUACCGCAUACGAUCUACGGAUGAAAGCAGGGGACCGCAAGGCCUUGCGCGAACGGAGCGGCCGAUGGCAGAUUAGGUAGUUGGUGGGAUAAAAGCUUACCAAGCCGACGAUCUGUAGCUGGUCUGAGAGGACGACCAGCCACACUGGGACUGAGACACGGCCCAGACUCCUACGGGAGGCAGCAGUGGGGAAUUUUGGACAAUGGGCGAAAGCCUGAUCCAGCCAUGCCGCGUGCAGGAUGAAGGCCUUCGGGUUGUAAACUGCUUUUGUACGGAACGAAAAGACUCUGGUUAAUACCUGGGGUCCAUGACGGUACCGUAAGAAUAAGCACCGGCUAACUACGUGCCAGCAGCCGCGGUAAUACGUAGGGUGCAAGCGUUAAUCGGAAUUACUGGGCGUAAAGCGUGCGCAGGCGGUUAUAUAAGACAGAUGUGAAAUCCCCGGGCUCAACCUGGGAACUGCAUUUGUGACUGUAUAGCUAGAGUACGGCAGAGGGGGAUGGAAUUCCGCGUGUAGCAGUGAAAUGCGUAGAUAUGCGGAGGAACACCGAUGGCGAA
This 672-nucleotide ribosomal RNA is filed under the name unidentified microorganism. Its description in RNAcentral is "bacterial SSU rRNA". It matches the Rfam family "Bacterial small subunit ribosomal RNA", at positions 51 to 719 of the family's 1533-position model. The record is from RNAcentral.